RNAcentral lists this ribosomal RNA (535 nucleotides) under Fusarium sp. NRRL 26756. RNAcentral's name for it is "LSU rRNA". It matches the Rfam family "Eukaryotic large subunit ribosomal RNA", at positions 66 to 624 of the family's 3401-position model. Lineage: Eukaryota; Fungi; Ascomycota; Sordariomycetes; Hypocreales; Nectriaceae. The record is from RNAcentral.
CAACAGGGAUUGCCCUAGUAACGGCGAGUGAAGCGGCAACAGCUCAAAUUUGAAAUCUGGCUCUCGGGCCCGAGUUGUAAUUUGUAGAGGAUACUUUUGAUGCGGUGCCUUCCGAGUUCCCUGGAACGGGACGCCAUAGAGGGUGAGAGCCCCGUCUGGUUGGAUGCCAAAUCUCUGUAAAGUUCCUUCGACGAGUGGAGUAGUUUGGGAAUGCUGCUCUAAAUGGGAGGUAUAUGUCUUCUAAAGCUAAAUACCGGCCAGAGACCGAUAGCGCACAAGUAGAGUGAUCGAAAGAUGAAAAGCACUUUGAAAAGAGAGUUAAAAAGUACGUGAAAUUGUUGAAAGGGAAGCGUUUAUGACCAGACUUGGGCUUGGUUAAUCAUCUGGGGUUCUCCCCAGUGCACUUUUCCAGUCCAGGCCAGCAUCAGUUUUCCCCGGGGGAUAAAGACUUCGGGAAUGUGGCUCUCUUCGGGGAGUGUUAUAGCCCGUUGUGUAAUACCCUGGGGGGGACUGAGGUUCGCGCAUCUGCAAGGAU